This 1395-nucleotide ribosomal RNA is filed under the name Leuconostoc citreum. RNAcentral's name for it is "bacterial SSU rRNA". It matches the Rfam family "Bacterial small subunit ribosomal RNA". The record is from RNAcentral. Lineage: Bacteria; Bacillati; Bacillota; Bacilli; Lactobacillales; Lactobacillaceae.
GCGCAGCGAGAGGUGCUUGCACCUUUCAAGCGAGUGGCGAACGGGUGAGUAACACGUGGAUAACCUGCCUCAAGGCUGGGGAUAACAUUUGGAAACAGAUGCUAAUACCGAAUAAAACUUAGUAUCGCAUGAUAUCAAGUUAAAAGGCGCUACGGCGUCACCUAGAGAUGGAUCCGCGGUGCAUUAGUUAGUUGGUGGGGUAAAGGCUUACCAAGACGAUGAUGCAUAGCCGAGUUGAGAGACUGAUCGGCCACAUUGGGACUGAGACACGGCCCAAACUCCUACGGGAGGCUGCAGUAGGGAAUCUUCCACAAUGGGCGCAAGCCUGAUGGAGCAACGCCGCGUGUGUGAUGAAGGCUUUCGGGUCGUAAAGCACUGUUGUAUGGGAAGAAAUGCUAAAAUAGGGAAUGAUUUUAGUUUGACGGUACCAUACCAGAAAGGGACGGCUAAAUACGUGCCAGCAGCCGCGGUAAUACGUAUGUCCCGAGCGUUAUCCGGAUUUAUUGGGCGUAAAGCGAGCGCAGACGGUUGAUUAAGUCUGAUGUGAAAGCCCGGAGCUCAACUCCGGAAUGGCAUUGGAAACUGGUUAACUUGAGUGUUGUAGAGGUAAGUGGAACUCCAUGUGUAGCGGUGGAAUGCGUAGAUAUAUGGAAGAACACCAGUGGCGAAGGCGGCUUACUGGACAACAACUGACGUUGAGGCUCGAAAGUGUGGGUAGCAAACAGGAUUAGAUACCCUGGUAGUCCACACCGUAAACGAUGAAUACUAGGUGUUAGGAGGUUUCCGCCUCUUAGUGCCGAAGCUAACGCAUUAAGUAUUCCGCCUGGGGAGUACGACCGCAAGGUUGAAACUCAAAGGAAUUGACGGGGACCCGCACAAGCGGUGGAGCAUGUGGUUUAAUUCGAAGCAACGCGAAGAACCUUACCAGGUCUUGACAUCCUUUGAAGCUUUUAGAGAUAGAAGUGUUCUCUUCGGAGACAAAGUGACAGGUGGUGCAUGGUCGUCGUCAGCUCGUGUCGUGAGAUGUUGGGUUAAGUCCCGCAACGAGCGCAACCCUUAUUGUUAGUUGCCAGCAUUCAGUUGGGCACUCUAGCGAGACUGCCGGUGACAAACCGGAGGAAGGCGGGGACGACGUCAGAUCAUCAUGCCCCUUAUGACCUGGGCUACACACGUGCUACAAUGGCGUAUACAACGAGUUGCCAACCUGCGAAGGUGAGCUAAUCUCUUAAAGUACGUCUCAGUUCGGACUGCAGUCUGCAACUCGACUGCACGAAGUCGGAAUCGCUAGUAAUCGCGGAUCAGCACGCCGCGGUGAAUACGUUCCCGGGUCUUGUACACACCGCCCGUCACACCAUGGGAGUUUGUAAUGCCCAAAGCCGGUGGCCUAACCUUCGG